GUAUACCAGUACAUGCUAGUAGUUUGUAUGGCAUUAUCUUAAUCAUAUUAAAAAUGAAGGUGCAUUUCAUUGUACCAUUGAUAUUUUAAUAGCAUAAAAGUGUAUUAACAUUGUUAUUAAGCUUUUUAUACGACCGCAAAAAUUUUUUGGUCGUAUAUUGGUAUGACGUUGGUGUCGUCGUCAGCGUCCAAAGACAUUUGGUUUUGGUCCCAACAGUGUAGGAAUAAGGGGCCAAAAAGGGCCAAAAUAAGCAUUUUUAUUGGUUUUCGCACAAUAACUUCAGUAUGAGUAAAUAGAAAUCUAUGAAAUUUUAACACAAGGUUUAUGACCACAAAAGGAAGGUUGGGAUUGAUUUUGGGAGUUUUGGUCCAAACAGGAAUUAGGAGCCAAAAGGGUCCAAAAUUAAACUUUGUUCAAAAAAUAAAUUAUUGGGACUCUUUGAUAUGCCAAAUCUAACCGUGUAUUUAGAUUCUUUUUUUUGUCCUGUUUUCAAAAUGUUUUAAAUUAGUUUGAUUUUAACAAUAAUUGAAUAUAUGGGGUUCUUCAAUAUGCUGAAUCUAACCAUGUAUUUAGAUUUUUAAUAUUUUGGCCCAGUUAUCAAAUUGGUCCAUGUUGAGGUCUAAAGGGUCUAAAAUUGAACAUUAUUUGAUUUCAUCAAAAAUUGAAUUCUUGGAGUUCUUUGAUAUGCUGAAUCUAACCAUGUAUUUAGAUUUUGGAUAUUGGACCAUAAUAGGUAAAUGUCCAAUUUAGAAUUUUUAAGUUUUUAAGUUUAAGUUCUUAGACCACAUUCAUUCUGUGUCAGAAACCUAUGUUGUGUCAACUAUUUAAUCACAAUCCAAAAUCAGAGCUGUAUCAAGCUUAAAUGUUGUGUCCAUACUUGCCCCAACUAUUCAGGGUUCGACCUCUGCGGUUGUAUAAAGCUGCACCCUGCGGAGCAUCUGGUUAAAAGUUGUAUUACUUUUGAUAUUAAGCAUGAAUGUGUAUGACCAUAGAGGACCUUAGUGGCAGAGCAGUCUAAGUAGUUAAUCUAAAAUGACCACUAGUCAUUCAAUAAUUAUGUUGAAAGGUCCAACCCCUCACUUGUCUUCAUUGACAAGGACUGGCAGUUUUCAUGAUCAAGGUCAAAAUUAUCUCUCGUCUGGCUUCCACUUAUAAAAACUGACCACUAUGAUAUAGUUCAGAGUCCUAAUGUUGGCAUUUAUUAACAUCAACAAUCAAUCUAUUUCAUAUUAUUAUAAAUUUCAUGUAACCUUGAUCUUUAACCUUAAGGUUAAAAUAAUAGAUUAAUUAUGAUACUUUUUCAUCUGAGUGACAACCUUUUUAACAUUUGACUUAUAAAUUUCAUAUUUAACACAUUAAGUAGGUGUGUUACAUUUGAGAUAAUAUCUGAAUUGGUCUUUGAAUGAACAUUAAGUGAUUGAAUUUUAGGGAAAUCUUUCAUGUCUAACCUAAUAAAAACAUAUAUAAUAUUGUAUGCAUUAUAGUUUGACACCUGAAGUAAUCCCCCUGCUACCUCAUGUGAUAAGGAAACUUGGAGCACUCAUCCUUCUUUUUGAUGGGCUAUAUACUGAUAAAUCUUUUAAUUUUUCUUUUGAUUUUUUUGGUGGAAGAAGACUUCAAGUCUUUUGAAGACCUAUGGUGCCGACUUUAAAAUCAUUGAACGUCUGUAUGCCGCAUUCGUUUUUGUGUAUUACAAUUUAAUAACAACUUCCGAUUCCUGACACCUAUUUUUACACAUGAUUAGGAAUCUGAAUCAAUUUAUUUGUUAAUUAGGAUUGAAAAACAAUCACUAUCGUAAAUAUUUACCCUUUUAUUUAUGUAAAUUAUAAGAUUUCAUCUCAUCUACAUGAACGUUAUUUGUUUACUUGUAACCGGGUCUCACUAAUUAGCGACAAGAAGCGUCAAGAAGCCACAAGAAGAAUAAGUUUAGCGACAAGAAGCGACAAGAAGCUAUUUAGCGACAAGAAAACAUUCUUUUUUAUUAAAUAUAAAAAAUAUGCAUUAAGUCAUUUUUAAUAUACGGGAAGAAAUUAAUAGAUAAUUUUAAUUAUUAUAUUGAUAGAUGAAGAAAUUAAAUAUUUGUAAGAGCAAAUGAAAUGCACACGCUAUACAAUGAAAAUAAAAACAAAGAUUUUUCACCAUUCUUUUGAAGGAUUUAUUGAAACAAAAACACGAAAUAUUAUUUCCUUUCUAACUGUACGAUUAAUUUUUCCUGAUAGGACAAACAUUAGCUGUGGCUUCACCCUAAGGUAAUACACAAUGUAGAACAUCAAAUGAGAUUAACGAGGCACGUGUCCCUUGUUUUAUUGCUACAAUAACAUCCAAUUAAACGUAAUACUUGCUGUUAUACAUGUCAGACUCUAAAGUGUGAUGGUACUCUAAAGUGCGAUGGUCACGCUAUUUAUAAAGUCCUACAUACAUAAUAAAAUAUCAUGUAAAUAAAUCUAGCAACUGAAUUAGAUCUAAGUUUAUAAUUUUUUUUCUAUCAAUAUUAACUUUCCUGUCGUUAAAAUUGGUUUUUUUUGCAUAUUUUUUUAAUAUUUAUUUUGAAAAAGUCAUUUUAAUAAUUAAAAAAAAUAUUUUCUUGUCGCUAAAUAGUUUCUUGUCGCUUCUUGUGUUCCUUAUGAUAUGAUCCUUCUAAUUUACUGCCAAAUUAAAGAUUUUACCUAAUUUUCACAGUCCACUGAACAUAGAAAAUGAUUGUACGGAUGGGAAAUCCAUGUACUUAUGACACAUUCUUGUUUAAAGAAAAAAAAUAUGUCAUAACGAUAAUGGAACAAAGAAGGCUGGGUUAGUGGGACUGCUUUUAUUGUAAUUCAAGUUACCUUUUAUUCACCUUCUUCCACCUCAGAGCUAUCAGCUCUUUGAUUUAUGUAUUGUUGUUUGUGGUGUAUUUAUUUAUAGCAGUGGGGUUACUCAUUAAAAUUACUUAAUUAUCUGUUAUUAAUGUAGAUUAUAUGUUUUUUAAUACUCUCAUCAUUUACAUAUCAAAUUUGAAUUAUUGUACUAUAUACUAUUAUACUAUUGAAAUAUUUGUUCUCAAAGAAACUGGAAGAAAAGACAAGGACUUUUUAUGCCCCAUAUAGGGGUAUGAUGUUUUUUUGGUCUAUUGUCUGUCUGCUCGUGGGUAUGUCUGUCCAUCUGUCCCGCUUCAGGUUAAGUUUUUAGUUAAUGUUUUUUGUCAAGGUGGUUUUUGAUAAAGUUAAAGUUCAUUCAACUAGAAACUUACUGGUAGUUCACAUGUUCCCUUUGAUAUGAUCUUUCUAAUUUUAAUGCCAAAUAAGAGUUUGUAGUUUAAUUUCAGGGUACAUAAAAAAUGAAAGUGUGAGUGGGCAUAUUCUUGUUUUAAGCAAAGAUAUUUGAAGAACUGUGCCCCAAAAAAUUAUUUAUAUAUAACUUUACUAACACUAGUGUUUUGAAAGAUUAUUAGACUGAUAUUUCUGUGUUGUUAUUAACAAAGCAGUUAUGAAUGAUUUAUCACUCAUGCUUAUAAUCCUAUGUUAACAUGCAACAAGUUGUAGUAUCUAACAUAAUGUUUGAAUUAUUUCUAAGCUUCUCAUAUACAAAACUUUUUUUUCCUUUUUUUUCCCCCAAUACAUGUAGUUGUAAUUAAUAUGCGGCAGGCAUUACCUGUAAAUGGGGACGAAGUCGGUAUGAAUAAUUUUUUUGUAACUUAAAUAUUUGUUAAAAAAAAGAAACGGAAAUACCGUAACGUUUCCGAUUUUGGUUCUGUUGUUAGGGAUUUUAGUUGUGACGUUAUUUAAAUUAUGCAAUAUAAACAAAGAAACACUAUCAUCAGGUAACGUUUUUUCACAUCAAGGAAUUAUUAAAAAUGAAAUUGGUAUUGCGCGUUCCUUCCUAUCUUAUACUAGACUGAUAAAUAUAUAUUUUACUCAAAGUUUCAUACAAACGAGACCGGAAAAAGGAAGUACAUUGUACAUUUCUGCGCAGGUCCGGGAUUUCAAAACACGACAUAAAACAAAAUGAACGAUUUUGAGUUCAUUAGUACAAUGAAAAAUUCAGGAAAUUUUCCCAAAUUUUUUUUUUUAUUGAAUUUUCUACUGUUAUUGGGGACUUCGUCCCCAUAUGAAUCAGUAAGUAAACAUUUACAUGCUAUAUUCGAUUUUUAAUACAAAUUCAUAUCUAUUAAAUGAUAUA
RNAcentral lists this long non-coding RNA (4158 nucleotides) under Mytilus galloprovincialis (Mediterranean mussel). The record is from RNAcentral. Lineage: Eukaryota; Metazoa; Mollusca; Bivalvia; Mytilida; Mytilidae.